GAUGAACGCUGGCGGCGUGCCUAAUACAUGCAAGUCGAGCGAACAGACGAGGAUCUUGCUCCUCUGACGUUAGCGGCGGACGGGUGAGUAACACGUGGAUAACCUACCUAUAAGACUGGGAUAACUUCGGGAAACCGUAGCUAAUACCGGAUAAUAUAUUGAACCGCAUGGUUCAAUAGUGAAAGACGGUUUUGCGGUCACUUAUAGAUGGAUCCGCGCCGCAUUAGCUAGUUGGUAAGGUAACGGCUUACCAAGGCAACGAUGCGUAGCCGACCUGAGCGGGUGAUCGGCCACACUGGAACUGAGACACGGUCCAGACUCCUACGGGAGGCAGCAGUAGGGAAUCUUCCGCGAUGGGCGAAAGACUGACGGAGCAACGCCGCGUGAGUGAUGAAGGUCUUCGGAUCGUAAGACUCUGUUAUUAGGGAAGAACAAAUGUGUAAGUAACUAUGCACGUCUUGACGGUACCUAAUCAGAAAGCCACGGCUAACUACGUG
This 497-nucleotide ribosomal RNA is filed under the name uncultured bacterium. RNAcentral describes it as "partial 16S ribosomal RNA". It matches the Rfam family "Bacterial small subunit ribosomal RNA", at positions 28 to 507 of the family's 1533-position model. The record is from RNAcentral.